Molecule: ribosomal RNA, 511 nt
Filed under: uncultured organism
Description: SSU rRNA
Rfam family: Bacterial small subunit ribosomal RNA
Source: RNAcentral
CAACAGCUAGAGUUUGAUCCUGGCUCAGGACGAACGCUGGCGGCGUGCCUAACACAUGCAAGUCGAACGAAGCUCUUUUCAAUGCGAUUCGUCAAGUUGAAGGGAUGACUUAGUGGCGAACGGGUGAGUAACGCGUGAGCAACCUGCCCCGGAGUGGGGGACAACAGUUGGAAACGACUGCUAAUACCGCAUGACAUAUACUAACGGCAUCGUUGGUAUAUCAAAGAUUAAUUGCUCUGGGAUGGGCUCGCGUCUGAUUAGAUAGUUGGCGGGGUAACGGCCCACCAAGUCGACGAUCAGUAGCCGGACUGAGAGGUUGAACGGCCACAUUGGGACUGAGAUACGGCCCAGACUCCUACGGGAGGCAGCAGUGGAGAAUAUUGGGCAAUGGGCGAAAGCCUGACCCAGCAACGCCGCGUGAAGGAAGAAGGCCUUCGGGUUGUAAACUUCUUUUGUUGAGGACGAAGAAAGUGACGGUACUCGACGAAUAAGCUACGGCUAACUACGUGCC